Molecule: ribosomal RNA, 492 nt
Filed under: uncultured bacterium
Lineage: Bacteria
Description: partial 16S ribosomal RNA
Rfam family: Bacterial small subunit ribosomal RNA
Source: RNAcentral
AGUGAACGCUGGCGGUAGGCCUAACACAUGCAAGUCGAACGGCAGCACAGUAAGAGCUUGCUCUUACGGGUGGCGAGUGGCGGACGGGUGAGGAAUACAUCGGAAUCUACUUUUUCGUGGGGGAUAACGUAGGGAAACUUACGCUAAUACCGCAUACGACCUACGGGUGAAAGCAGGGGAUCUUCGGACCUUGCGCGAUUGAAUGAGCCGAUGUCGGAUUAGCUAGUUGGCGGGGUAAAGGCCCACCAAGGCGACGAUCCGUAGCUGGUCUGAGAGGAUGGUCGGCCACACUGGAACUGAGACACGGUCCAGACUCCUACGGGAGGCAGCAGUGGGGAAUAUUGGACAAUGGGCGCAAGCCUGAUACAGCCAUACCGCGUGGGUGAAGAAGGCCCUCGGGUUGUAAAGCCCUUUUGUUGGGAAAGAAAAGCAGCAGGUUAAUACCCCGCUGUUCUGACGGUACCCAAAGAAUAAGCACCGGCUAACUUCGUG